GAAAAGCCCGCUCGCCGGAAGACCAAGGGUUCCUGUCCAACGUUAAUCGGGGCAGGGUGAGUCGACCCCUAAGGCGAGGCCGAAAGGCGUAGUCGAUGGGAAACAGGUUAAUAUUCCUGUACUUGGUGUUACUGCGAAGGGGGGACGGAGAAGGCUAUGUUGGCCGGGCGACGGUUGUCCCGGUUUAAGCGUGUAGGCUGGUUUUCCAGGCAAAUCCGGAAAAUCAAGGCUGAGGCGUGAUGACGAGGCACUACGGUGCUGAAGCAACAAAUGCCCUGCUUCCAGGAAAAGCCUCUAAGCAUCAGGUAACAUCAAAUCGUACCCCAAACCGACACAGGUGGUCAGGUAGAGAAUACCAAGGCGCUUGAGAGAACUCGGGUGAAGGAACUAGGCAAAAUGGUGCCGUAACUUCGGGAGAAGGCACGCUGAUAUGU
RNAcentral lists this ribosomal RNA (434 nucleotides) under Escherichia coli. Its description in RNAcentral is "partial 23S ribosomal RNA". It matches the Rfam family "Bacterial large subunit ribosomal RNA", at positions 1323 to 1759 of the family's 2925-position model. Lineage: Bacteria; Pseudomonadati; Pseudomonadota; Gammaproteobacteria; Enterobacterales; Enterobacteriaceae. The record is from RNAcentral.